RNAcentral lists this non-coding RNA (24 nucleotides) under Drosophila melanogaster (fruit fly). Lineage: Eukaryota; Metazoa; Arthropoda; Insecta; Diptera; Drosophilidae. The record is from RNAcentral.
AGUACCUCAAAGAACUCCACAAGC